Long non-coding RNA from Drosophila montana, 395 nucleotides. RefSeq lists it as uncharacterized. The record is from RefSeq and is a predicted model, not a curated record. The transcript is spliced from 3 exons. NCBI's taxonomy places the organism in Eukaryota, Metazoa, Arthropoda, Insecta, Diptera, Drosophilidae.
AAUGACUGUAAAAGUUAAGAGGUGCAUUGUUAAUACGUUAAAAAUGUUUUGACCAAGUGAAUGCGUAAACACAGAGGCAAUAAUAAAAUAAAAUUUAUUAUAAAAUUCAGCAGCGAAACCGAAAACUAAAAUAAACAAAUAAAUUGAUAUUAAUCAAAAAUUACAUUUAUAAUUUCAUUAAAUCAAAACGAGUUUAUAUGUACAAUAAUUAUGACAAAACUAAUACAUAUUGCAAGUAGACAGAGGAAAAAGCCUUACAAAAACCUCAUUCGCCUUGCCUGCAUCCGUCGAAGCAUCGUGCAUGAUAGCCGGACAGGAUGUCAUUAUUUGAGCAAUCGAAUUAUUGGCGGCUGCUUCUGCAGCAGCAGCAGCCUCAGUGGCCAUACGCACCUUUU